AGCCGCGGUAAUUCCAGCUCCAAUAGCGUAUAUUAAAGUUGUUGCCGUUAAAAAGCUCGUAGUUGAAGUUCUGGCUGUUCGAUCCUCGAGCUCUGUAGCCGAGGACUCGACAGUCAUCCGCUUGCAAAUAUAGUUCGUCUUUAACCGGAUGGCUAUAUGAGUAAGCAAUUUACCUUGAGAAAAACAGAGUGUUCCAGGCAGGUUUGUCCGGAAUGCAUUAGCAUGGAAUAAUAGAAUAUGACUGAAGUCGAUUUAUUGGUUUGAGGCUGUAGUAAUGAUUAAUAGGAAAAGUAGGGGGCAUUGGUAAAAGAAAGUCAGAGGAGAAAAUCUAGGAUAUGUCAAAGACUAAGAAAUGCGAAAGCAAAUGAAAAGGAUGUUUUCAUUAAUCAA
RNAcentral lists this ribosomal RNA (390 nucleotides) under uncultured eukaryote. RNAcentral describes it as "SSU rRNA". It matches the Rfam family "Eukaryotic small subunit ribosomal RNA", at positions 572 to 980 of the family's 1831-position model. The record is from RNAcentral.